UGUGUUUAAGUGUGUGGUGCACAGGAGAUUUUGAUUCUUCUUUUUUUAGUUCGACUCUAUUGAAUACAA
This 69-nucleotide transfer RNA is filed under the name Anaplecta calosoma. RNAcentral describes it as "tRNA-Gln". Lineage: Eukaryota; Metazoa; Arthropoda; Insecta; Blattodea; Anaplectidae. The record is from RNAcentral.